RNAcentral lists this unclassified non-coding RNA (332 nucleotides) under fungal sp. RNAcentral's name for it is "partial internal transcribed spacer region". The stretch from base 1 to 46 matches the Rfam family "Eukaryotic small subunit ribosomal RNA", at positions 1786 to 1831 of the family's 1831-position model. The record is from RNAcentral. Lineage: Eukaryota; Fungi.
AAGUCGUAACAAGGUUUCCGUAGGUGAACCUGCGGAAGGAUCAUUUGUGAAAUUUGAUGUUUUGGAUGAAAAUCUUUUUAGGAGUAAAAUUCUAAAGGGGUGAUCUGAAAAAACAUAAAAAAAGAGAUUUCUUGUGGUUUAUAAAUGAUUUUUUAGAAAAAAAUUGUUUGUUGUUGGAAAUUUAAACUUUCAAUGACAAACAAUUUAUAUUUUUAAAAAAAUCAAUUUUUUAUAAAAAACUAUUUUAAACAUGUAUUUAAAAAAAUUAACAGUUUUAAAAAAAAUAAAUUAAAAAAAAAUUAAAACUGUCAACGGUGGAUCUCUUGGCUCGU